RNAcentral lists this ribosomal RNA (484 nucleotides) under uncultured bacterium. Its description in RNAcentral is "bacterial SSU rRNA". It matches the Rfam family "Bacterial small subunit ribosomal RNA", at positions 30 to 507 of the family's 1533-position model. The record is from RNAcentral.
AUUGAACGCUAGCGGCAUGCCUUACACAUGCAAGUCGAACGGCAGCACGGGAGCAAUCCUGGUGGCGAGUGGCGAACGGGUGAGUAAUAUAUCGGAACGUGCCCGGUCGUGGGGGAUAACGUAGCGAAAGCUACGCUAAUACCGCAUACGAUCUACGGAUGAAAGCGGGGGAUCGCAAGACCUCGCGCGAUUGGAGCGGCCGAUAUCAGAUUAGGUAGUUGGUGAGGUAAAGGCUCACCAAGCCGACGAUCUGUAGCUGGUCUGAGAGGACGACCAGCCACACUGGGACUGAGACACGGCCCAGACUCCUACGGGAGGCAGCAGUGGGGAAUUUUGGACAAUGGGCGCAAGCCUGAUCCAGCAAUGCCGCGUGCAGGAUGAAGGCCUUCGGGUUGUAAACUGCUUUUGUACGGAACGAAACGGUGAGCUCUAAUACAGUUUGCUAAUGACGGUACCGUAAGAAUAAGCACCGGCUAACUACGUG